UCAUAUAGUAAUUGUGAUGAAAACACCUUAGUUGGUACUACGUUAUAUGGUAUUGGCCCUAUAUCUAAGUAUUUUGUCAAAAAUGAGGAUGGUGUUUCACUAGCUCCCAUGCUUGCCGCAGUCCAAGAUAAGGUUUACAUGAAAAGUUGGUAAGCUAUUUUUUUAUCAUCUUUAAUUCAACUUUAAGAAAUCAAUCAUAACAUGUUAUAUUUAUAGGAAAACAUAAGAUAGUUUGAGACAUUUGAAACUAGGCCGUCCAUUUGAGAUAUGUAUCAUAUUAUACUUAUAUUUAAUCAUAUUAUACUUAUAUUUAAUCAUAUUAAAGAAACCAUUAGAUUUAAAAUUAACGACAUAAAUAUUGAAGAUAUCUCUUAUAAUAUCUCAAGAUUUUUUUUAUAGGUACUACUUGAAAGAAGCAGUGAUGACAGGUGGUAUUCCAUUCAACAUGGCGUACGGAAUGUCAGCUUUUGAGUAUCAUAGUAUAGAUGUGAGGUUCAAUAAUCUAUUUAAUAAAGCAUUUUUUAAUAUGACAAUCCUUAUGAAGAAAAUUCUUCAUUUAUAUAAUGGAUUUGAGAGUAUCAACAAAUUGGUUGAUGUUGGUGGGGGCACUGGAGCCAAUCUAAACAUCAUAAUCUCGCAACAUCCAACCAUAAAGGGUGUCAACUUCGACCUUCCUCAUGUCAUCAAAAAUGCCCCCUUAUUUAAAGGUAACAUAAUAUAUCCAGAAUCAGUAUAUAAUUGAAUGUUUUGCGGAAACUAAUUAUGUAUGAUUGUGUUCUGUUUUACAGGAGUGAAACAUGUUGGCGGAGACAUGUUUGAGAAGGUUCCUAGUGGUGAUGCCAUUUUUAUGAAGGUAUAUAUCUUAAACUGGCCUUUAAUUUUCCAUAUAUUGAUUCUAACCCAGAUAAGUACAUCACUGUUUUGUUUUAUGCAGUUUAUCCUACAUGAUUGGAGCGACGAUCAUUGUGUGAAGUUAUUGAAGAAUUGUUGGAAACAACUUCCAAAAAAUGGAAUGGUUAUCGUCUGUGAAUUUACUAUUCCCGUUGAACCACAAGNNNNNNNNNNNNNNNNNNNNNNNNNNNNNNNNNNNNNNNNNNNNNNNNNNNNNNNNNNNNNNNNNNNNNNNNNNNNNNNNNNNNNNNNNNNNNNNNNNNNNNNNNNNNNNNNNNNNNNNNNNNNNNNNNNNNNNNNNNNNNNNNNNNNNNNNNNNNNNNNNNNNNNNNNNNNNNNNNNNNNNNNNNNNNNNNNNNNNNNNNNNNNNNNNNNNNNNNNNNNNNNNNNNNNNNNNNNNNNNNNNNNNNNNNNNNNNNNNNNNNNNNNNNNNNNNNNNNNNNNNNNNNNNNNNNNNNNNNNNNNNNNNNNNNNNNNNNNNNNNNNNNNNNNNNNNNNNNNNNNNNNNNNNNNNNNNNNNNNNNNNNNNNNNNNNNNNNNNNNNNNNNNNNNNNNNNNNNNNNNNNNNNNNNNNNNNNNNNNNNNNNNNNNNNNNNNNNNNNNNNNNNNNNNNNNNNNNNNNNNNNNNNNNNNNNNNNNNNNNNNNNNNNNNNNNNNNNNNNNNNNNNNNNNNNNNNNNNNNNNNNNNNNNNNNNNNNNNNNNNNNNNNNNNNNNNNNNNNNNNNNGCAGUAUCAUAGGUGAAAUCCAGCUAGUUUUUAUCUUUAAAUUCCACAAUCUGCAAAACAAAACAAAAAUACAGAUUAUUAAUAAUUAAAACAAACUUAAACUUCCCUUUAAAGACCGAACUUCAUCUUAAUGGUACUGCAUAAUUUGAUAAAAAUAUCUUAAGAUACAGCUUUGGUAAACAUGUCAGCAAGUUGAUCAGAUGAGCGCACAUGUUUUAUAUUUAUUGAUCCAUUUAAAAUUAAUUCUCUAAUGAAAUGUAUAUCUGUUUCUAGGUAUUUCGACAUUUUGCUAAUUACUGGAUUUUUGGCCAUAAAAAUAGAUGAAAUAUUAUCCGUGUAUAGAAGAGGAACCUGAAUUAAUUUAUGACAAAGAUCUCUACAGAUAAAAUGAGUCCAUCUUAAAUUUAUAGUGGGACUUGCUAGGGCUCUAUAUAUAUAAAGGAAUAUAAACCCUAAAAGUAGAUUUAUUAACAUUAGUUUAAUUAAUAACAUGAUAACUAUUUUCUCUAACAUUAUUUGGUCAUGUAAAAUAUUGUAUUUAACAGGGUUAUGCUAGCAAUUAUUUCAAUGAAAGCUUACUGGAUUAAUGAGGGUCAACAAGAUGAUGGUGGCCAGUUAAAUGAAAUCUAUUAGUCUAAUAAAUAGUUAAAUACAAUGUAAUAAAAACAGAUGAGCAGUUAAAUCAGUUAAGGCCCAAGUAUAAAUAUUAUAAAUACUUAAAGAAAACAGUGUAAUAAUGAUUCAGUUAAUGAGAUUUCCCAAUUUAACUGAUUUACCUUCUUCCUCUUUUAAAAUCUUCCAAAGACAUUCCGACAGUAUCUCCGGCCAUUGUCGGUCUUCCACACGAGGAAGACAAUAGGGUUAUCUUUUUUCCCAAUCAAUUCUUUUACUAUAUUCAGCCUCAACACUUGAUCUUGAAACAAUAUUUUAUUUCUUUGAUGACCAAGUUACUAAGUUUCCUCCGAUAACAGUUGUUUUGUAUCUUCGAUCAAACAAUAUUUUCUUUCUAGAGAUUUCGAUCUCUAGAAAAAUUCUUUGUAUCAUUGUUAUCAUGGUUUCUAUCUUUGUUGUUUCGAUUAUCUUUAUUCUGAUAAAAAUUAAAUUUUGUAGCCAAGGUAGAAUCGGACGGUAUUGCAUUUUAAGAAGUGUUAAAUCGGCGAAGAUAUUGAUCUUCCCUAAUGGCGACAUGAAUAAAAUCUUCAAAUGGGAGAUUCGGUUGAGAAUGUAUGCAAGUAACAAAAGAUCGAAAUUAAAACGUAAGACCAUCGAUUAUGUACAAAAUCAACCUUGUCACUAUCGGUCAAUUUCUCACCGCCAGCAGACAAACUAUCGAAAAUCGCACGGAUCUUGAUAACAAACUCACCCAUGGUUUCCGUUUCCAAUUUCUUUAAACUCCUUAACUGAUCGCGCAAUAUUUGAGUAUGAAUAGUCCUUCGCGUAGAUAGAUGAAGAUCCAAUACAAACCAACAAUAAUAUGCAUUGGAGUGACCCAUCACCAAAGAAAACAUCGGUGGAGAAACAACAGAUAAUUGAAUUCAACCUAAAACAAUCAUAUGCAUUGGAUUGACCCAAAUUCUGUAAAGGGGGUUGAUUGAUCCAUUUGAUUUCUUCUGUAAAGGGUAUGUCUCACACUUUUCCAAGGGGCAUCUGAUCAACUGAGAUACUUGACACUUAUAUAAGUCAUCUGAAAUUCCGAAAUUAGAAAAUCCACCUGACUCACCUGUAGGAGGCGACAUAAUCUUCUGGAAAAAAAACACCAGCUGAAAAGAUACCAACAAAAACAAAAGAUACGUAGGAUAGAAGAUAAAUGCAAUGAAAUCAACAAAGAAAUCAACAAAAGAUACCAACUAAUUAGUUAUAUAGAAGCAAAAACACCAAUAGUACUUUUCAGAAAAGAAAAGAAAUAAAAUAAAAAUAAAUCUUGAUACCAACAAUGAUUUAUUUAAUCAACAUGCACACAAUUCAAGAAGUUUGUACAAAGACCAUUGGACAUAUUGGAGCUACGUACACAUUCAGAAAUUUGUACCUAAUUCAACUAUAAAUUGAUGGAGAUUGUAGAGUGUUCUUCACCAUCAAUUGCAAAAACUUAAUUUCCAAUUGUUGAGACGCAAUUAGGUAGCACUAUAUACUUAAGCAACCUAAUCACACCUUGACAUAUAUCAAUAGCAAAACCAUGUGUACGUGUCCAUCUUCUCCCAACGAAGCAACACCUGGCCAGCUACGUGUUGAAGAACCAUGAAUGCAACAACCAUACCUAUAAAAGGGAGCAAUUAUACGAAGGAAAGGCACGGAAAAAUCAUACCUCAACACCAAUGGAGAAAGAAGAAGCGAGACUUGUGGGUUUUUUGGCAAGUCCAUUUGUGUUAAGAGCAAGAAUAGCCUUGAAGAUCAAAGGAAUUCCAUAUGAGUUUGUUGACGAAGACAAGAGAAAUGAGUUUCCAACACUUCUUCACGAUGGUAAUGUCGUAUCAGAGUCUUUCAAAAUAGUUGAGUACCUUGAUGCAACAUGGAAGGCCGUGGAUUCCCCUUUCAUCUUGCCGGUCGAUCCUUACGACCGUACUAUUGUACGAUUUUGGGCUACAUAUAUUGAUGAUAAGGUAUGUAAUUAUGUAAGCAAACAGACAAAAAACAUCAAUGUUUUAGAUUUUAUAAUUAUUUAUUUAUUAUAAAUCAAUUCUACCCAGAAUUCCAUGAUUAUUUAUUUAUUGAUUGAUUGAUUUUGCUUGCAGAUUUUAUCGGCCAUGAAAUUGAUAAUAAAAGGAUCGACAAACAAGAUUGAAGAAGAAUUUCAUGAGGCAAUGCAGGUUUUGGAAAGUAUUUUCAAAAAUGAAAGUCAAGGUCAAAGCUUCUUUGCAAAGGGAAAUAUCGGAUAUAUUGACAUAUCUUUGGGGUCAAUAUUGGGUUGGAUGAAAGUUGUUGAGAAAUCAAAGAAUAUUAGGUUACUGGAUGAGAGGAAGACGCCUAUGUUGGUGAAUUGGGCUGAACAAUUCCAAGCUCACGAAGUUGUCAAGGGAAUGAUACCCGAACCAGACAAGUUGUCUAAGACAAUUGAUGAAAAAACAAUAGACGAUUCCAAACAACAAGAUGAAAUUGAUCGAGCAUUUAUCUAUGCUAGGCAAUUGACGUUCAAUCAUGCUCUCUCAAUGACCUUGAAAGUUGUCAUUGAACUGGGUGUGCUUGAUGUUAUUGCGAAUGCUGGUUUCGACAAAUUCCUCUCCCCAAAAGAGAUAGCAAGUGAAUUAUCGAUUGUCAACCCUGAUGCUCCCAUCAUGCUCAAUCGCAUGCUUAGACUACUUGCCAGCCACAAUAUCGUCAUCUGCAAAUCAAAAUCAUAUAGUAAUUGUGAUGAAAACACCAUAGUUGGUACUACGUUAUAUGGUAUUGGCCCUAUAUCUAAGUAUUUUGUCAAAAAUGAGGAUGGUGUUUCACUAGCUCCCAUGCUUGCCGCAAUCCAAGAUAAGGUUUACAUGAAAAGUUGGUAAGCUAUUUUUUUAUCAUCUUUAAUUCCAACUUUAAGAAAUCAAUCAUAACAUGUUAUAUUUAUAGGAAAACAUAAGAUAGUUUGAGACAUUUGAAACUAGGCCGUCCAUUUGAGAUAUGUAUCAUAUUAUACUUAUAUUUAAUCAUAUUAUACUUAUAUUUAAUCAUAUUAAAGAAACCAUUAGAUUUAAAAUUAACGACAUAAAUAUUGAAGAUAUCUCUUAUAAUAUCUCAAGAUUUUUUUUAUAGGUACUACUUGAAAGAAGCAGUGAUGACAGGUGGUAUUCCAUUCAACAUGGCGUACGGAAUGUCAGCUUUUGAGUAUCAUAGUAUAGAUGUGAGGUUCAAUAAUCUAUUUAAUAAAGCAUUUUUUAAUAUGACAAUCCUUAUGAAGAAAAUUCUUCAUUUAUAUAAUGGAUUUGAGAGUAUCAACAAAUUGGUUGAUGUUGGUGGGGGCACUGGAGCCAAUCUAAACAUCAUAAUCUCGCAACAUCCAACCAUAAAGGGUGUCAACUUCGACCUUCCUCAUGUCAUCAAAAAUGCCCCCUUAUUUAAAGGUAACAUAAUAUAUCCAGAAUCAGUAUAUAAUUGAAUGUUUUGCGGAAACUAAUUAUGUAUGAUUGUGUUCUGUUUUACAGGAGUGAAACAUGUUGGCGGAGACAUGUUUGAGAAGGUUCCUAGUGGUGAUGCCAUUUUUAUGAAGGUAUAUAUCUUAAACUGGCCUUUAAUUUUCCAUAUAUUGAUUCUAACCCAGAUAAGUACAUCACUGUUUUGUUUUAUGCAGUUUAUCCUACAUGAUUGGAGCGACGAUCAUUGUGUGAAGUUAUUGAAGAAUUGUUGGAAACAACUUCCAAAAAAUGGAAUGGUUAUCGUCUGUGAAUUUACUAUUCCCGUUGAACCACAAGAAGAUAAUUCAGCUUUCUAUAGUGAUAUGUCGAUGUUGACACUAAAUCCGGGAGGUAAGGAGAGGACUGAAAGUGAAUAUAGUUUACUGGCGAAGAAAGCAGGAUUUGUCGAUUUCAAAGUUGCAUGUGAUGUAUAUGGAAUGUACAUCAUGGAAUUCAGUAAGUAGUUGCACGCCCAAAUUUCUUCCUUAUGUGGAAAUACUAAAUAAAAUUAAAGCUUAUAUACACAACUUGAUUAGUCCAGUUGGUAACUAUCACUAUUAAGGUGGACGAACUGUUAAAGGUCCAGGGUUUGAGUCUCAAUGUAUGUAUUUUAAUUUAUAUUUACUUUUGUAUCAGUUUAUCAAAAAAUAAAAAUGUUUGCAAUAUAUAUAUAUAGAGAAAAAAUCAGGAACGACCCUGAUCGCACGGUGCCCUAAAACGGUACCUGCCCCCUCCGCCUUGCGAUUCCACAUCCACGGUCGUCUCCUCUCCAAGCCAACGUAUCUACCGAUGGCCAAUCUACCUCUAACAGAGUAAUGUGAGAUACUGUCAGUAACUGCGAUUUCGGUCCCGCAACAGAGUAACUGCGAUUUCGGUUCCGCGGAACCCAUCGCGAGUUCCGCGGAACUCGAUCGCGGUUCUGCGGAACUCGAUUUCGCAGAACCGGAACCGAAAUCGCGAUAGUGAGGGCCUCUGACACUGGCAGUGUGCCGGAAACGAAUCUUGCUGCGAAGAAGCCAAAGAUCUUAGUUGCCGGAGGCGGAAUCGAUUUGAGUACCAACUGCACAAACAUCGGUUGGUGUUCUUUUCCACCACUGGAAGCCUCAAUUGCUUUUUUCCCAACAAUCAUCUUGGUUUUGUGGUUGAAAUAACGCAGACCCCAAAGACCUUUAUUCAGAGCAGUUGAACUCGCACCCAAUUUUGAUGCAUACAUCUCUGCAAACUGAGCAAUGCCGAAUCCCCAACCAUCUAGCGCACAGACGAAGACCACAUUUCCUUUCUGUGGCUGGAACGUAUCUGCCUCAUUGUCUUCCUCCUCUACGAAUUCUUCUCCUACAGUGCUGGAUCCAGUGAUGAAGAGAUCCACAUCAGAGAGGUACUUGACAGAUUUAAACCCACUGAUAAUUCCAUUGACAUCGUGAAUAAUCCUUUGCAAUUUCGUAUAGGCUUCCAUCGGACUCAACUUUAACUCUGUGAUCAAUCGAUCGAUCUUGUUGAGGACGAGACAAGGAGUCAACUUCUCAAUCCAUGCCUGACGGAGAGCAGCAUGGGUUUGGAUAUGAACACCUUCGACGGAAACAACCAGAACCAAAGCCCCAUCACUUAAUCUGGCGGCAGUGGACACCUCGCUGCAGAAGUCGAUGUGUCCAGGGGAAUCAAUAAGGUUUAUGGAAUGUUCACCGUAUUUCAAUAAAAUAGAAGAGCUUUUCAUUGUGAUGGCUCGCCGUUGUUCCGCGGAACUCGAUCGCGGUUCCGCGGAACUCGAUCGCGGUUCCGCGGAACUCGAUCGCGGUUCCGCGGAAUCGGAAUCGGACCGCCGUGGAAUCGGAAUCGGAACGACGCGGAAUCGGAACGUCGUGGAAUCGGAAUCGGAACGACGCGAAAUCGGAAUCGGAACCGGAACCGUACGGAUCGAGGAGGGGAACGCACGGUGCGGACGGGCCGUGCCAGAUGUUUUUCCUAUAUAUAUAUACGUGUCUAUAUUUAUAUUUGUUUAAGAUGAAUGUCUAUAUACAAUUUCCAUUCUCAUAUAUACGUGUAUUAGGUCGUGGUAGGGGUGAGAAUGGUCCCGGGUCACCCCUUAGACCCGUCUCGUACGUUCCGUGUCUUGGUGGGAACAGGAUCGAGGUAGGAUUUUGCCCCGAAUUUUUUUUCCCGCCUUGUUGCUCCGGUCAUUUUAUGGAGCAGGUGUUAGGGCAGGGAAAACUAUAAUUUUCCUUUUAUUUUUAGCCUCGAUCAUAUUUUCGAGGGCGGGUCUCAGAGCUUGUAAAUGGUACAUCAAAAUUUGAAUUCGAGUUUGAAUUUUUUUAAAACUAUUUGAAUUUGGUUAUUCAAAUUUCAAAUGCGAAUUCAGUUUUCAAUUUUUGAAUCCGUGAAAUAUUUGGUCGAAUAUACGAAUUCAAUUCAACAAUUUGAGGUAUUAGACAUCUCAACUAAUGAUCAUAUAAUACAAAACACACCAAAAAAAGAGAAACAGUCCUCAAUCAACAAUGACCCAAUAACAUCAUUGGUGACUAAGAUAAGUAUCUCAGACAAACAAAAACAUUAUGAAAAAUCUACUAGUCCAAAAUAGCAAACAAAAACACUCUUCUGGACUAAUUAGAGAAUGAGAAGAACAUAUCCAAAUCUGAAUUGGGAGAGAAAAUUAAAAGCACAAAGAUGUCAAAAACAUUAAAAUCAAAAAGGUGAGAAGACCCUUCAAAAAGACCAACUAAAUAUGAUGAUAUCUAUUGUCCUAGUUUCAAAGAAACCAGAAAAUGAAAGUAUAUCAAAUCACAGGUUUAAUGAAAAACAUAAAGAUUUUGUGAAAACAAUCACAAAAGAAACAAAAUCAAAACAUUACCAUCAUGCCAAGUGUUACCCAAAAUGGCGUCAGACUAUGAAUGAGGAAAUGUUGGCUCUUAAAAAGAACAACAUAUGUUCCAUAUAUAGUACCGUUACCAUCUAACAAAAAGCCCAUAGGCUCAAGAUGGAUAAAAUAAAAUACAAAUCUGAUGAGACCAUUGAGAGAUACAAAGCUCGACUACUAACCAACUCAAUACCCAAACUAGUAUCAUUCAAAACACUAUUAACCAUAGUGGAAGACUUAAAUGAAGCUCCAUCAAAUGGAUGUAUACAAUGCAUUCUUGCGCACAUGAAGACCCAAAUGAGGAAAUAUAUAUGAUUAUAGCCCAAAUGCAUGUUCUGGAUUUUUAUGGCCAAAAGAUUUUUCAUUUUUCACAACACACCAUAAGACCAAAAACUGAUUCUUUCAACAUGCAAGGAGUAGCUCUUAAAUGAUUUUUAUGGAUGGAGUCCAGCAACUAUCUGACUACAUGGCUUGCAUUUGUCAAGUCUAUAUUAAAGAAAUUUAAUCCAACUACAUGCACCACUCCAGGUGGAAAACUCAGUAAAUUUGUUUCAAACAUCAACAGUUGCUGAUUUCAUGGAGAAAUUUGAAGAUUACUCAUCAAAAGUAAUAGGAAUCCCUGAUUAGCUAUUAUUAAAAUGUUCCUAUCAUGCCCAAAGGAUGAUAUUCAAAAAGAUGUAGUGACACAGCAAAACUUGAAGAUUUACCAGAGGCUAUGAUCAAGGUGGCUAUUCAUCUUGAAAAACAGGGAACAAGAAGCACUUCAACCUUCAAACAAGGAGGAUACAAAUCCAUCCAUGAAAGGCAAUAUAUACUACACCAAGAAUAAUAUUAAGUGAGUAUAUAACUCUAAUAUGGCCAGCAACACAAUCACCAACACUCCCAAAACAGAAAAUCUAAACCCAAAUUUCAAGAGCCUCACAUUUGCUGAGAGAAAAAAAAGAACUUCCAAAGGGUUAUGCUUUAAUUAUGAUGAAAAAUUCUCACCGAGACACAAAUGUAGAGGAAAAUUAUUCAGAUUUUCAGAUAAAAACAACACCUUCUGAGAACUAGCAGAUACAGAUGAAGGAGAAGAAGAAGCUGGAAUUAAAAUUCUGAAGAUCGAGGAAGAGUCUGAAAUCAGCCUUCAAGCAUUACAGGGAAGAAUUGGCAUAAUAAACAUCAGACUGGAAGGCUUCAUCAAAAGCUUUAAGACAGACCUUUCAAUCAAAAUGGAACAUACACAAGAAUGGUGGUAGGAUAUUGGAAUAUUAAAAUACAAAUCACUUCUUACUUUCUUUGUAGAUCUUAGAAGAUUAGAAGUACAAGUGUUGAACCGUAGAUCUCGAUCUUUUUGAAAGCUUUUUGGUGCUAGACCACAACUUGAGGGAUGAAUGAUUGAACUCAAAGAUUGAAGAUUUGAAGAGAGUUUGGAAGCUCAAAAACGUUGUAGUGUGUUGGCUUCAAAUGAUGAAAGUUUCCCUCUAUUUAUAGAAAAAUAAAUUCUUCAAAUGAUGUAGUGUGUCACUUGAUUGAAGUUUGGUUUGAGCAGUCUUGACUUUUAGAUUUUUGAACAACGGUUUUAUGUUUUCUCGCUACAGUCCAAAAACAAUUGACUUUUGAGAUUUCUUUUUUUAAUUGCCUAGGAAAUUGAUUCCUUUUGAAUAAGAGAAUGUCGGUUGACCGCAUAUUGGAUUUUGACUUUUGGCGAAUCGAAUACCUAAGUUUUUGGUUCGGUUCGUAUAAAUAAACAAGCCUACUCUUAGAUUUGAGUUCGUUUCCGAACCUAAUUCGAACUGAAUUCGAACUGAAUCCGAAACGAACCGAAUAGUUCGUCGAAUACCGAACUUUUGUUGCAAUUAUGGUAAAUUAAAUACAAUAUCAAUUUCUGCAUCUUGUAGAGAGAGAUUCCCCCUCUUUUCUCUAUAACAUAUUAUUCACUAUUAAUGAUCCAAUAAUAGUACUAUAUAAUCCAAGCUAUCUUAAUCAUAAUGAUCAAAAAAUCCCAGAGGCCCACUCCUUUUUUUUUCCACCUACUCUACUAAGGGUGAGAAUAGAUCCCGAUCCGUCCCGUUUCACGUCCCGAUCGUCAAGACAGAAAAGUAGGGUACCUGACCGGUCCGUUUUGGAAAAACGGGACGGGACCACCCCACCCCACCCGCGAUUCGUCCCAUUCUCAUCUCUACCUACUACGUACUCAAUAAUUGGAUCAAUGCUUCUUCAAUCUCGAUAAAAUAUAUUAUUUAUGAUUCAAAUGAUAGAGAUAUUUUAAAAACUUUACAAAAUUUAGAUUUUUUAUUCAAUUUGUGUAAGUUAAAAUUCAAGUUCGAACCCAAGCUUGUCGAUUUUGCUAAUGAAACGAGUGGUUGAGGAAUUGUCCAGGAAGAUAAAACCUUAUGGUUUUACUAGUUUUUCAUUUCUUCUUUCCUCUUCAAUUAUUCAGACCACUUGGACAUAUUCCGAGCCACAUACAAAUUCAGAAAUUUGUACCUAAUUCAACUAUAAAUAGAUGAAGAUUGUAGUGUUCUUCACCAUCAAUUGCGAAAACUUAAAUUCUAUGGAGAAAGAAGAAGCAAGGCUUGUGGGUUUUUCGGCAAGUCCAUUUGUGUUAAGAACAAUAAUAGCCUUGAAGAUCAAAGGAAUUCCAUAUGAGUUUGUUGACGGAGAUAAGAGAAACGAGUUUCCAACACUUCUUCACGCUGGUAAUGUCGUAUCAAAGUCUUUCAAAAUAGUUGAGUACCUUGAUGCAACAUGGAAGGCCGAGGAUCGCCCUCUCAUCUUGCCGGUCGAUCCUUACGACCGUACUAUUGUGCGAUUUUGGGCUACAUAUAUUGAUGACAAGGUAUAUAAUUAUGUAAGCAUUUAUAUUUUAGUUAGAUAUGCAAACAUGUUUGUAAGUCUUUUUUACCCAUCUAGUUAAUUAAGGUAGAUAAAAACCCGAACCAAGACUUUUAGUUUCGAUUUGGUUCAACGAUCUUAUAAUUAAAUUUUUAGACCCAAAAUCUUAUAAUUAAAUCAUAAUUAAAUUAAGUUUAAAAAGUAAUAAUCUAUUAAAUGUUAUUAAUUUAAAUCAGUGACAUGAUUUUUUACCGGUUAAAAGAUAAGAAAGACCGACCGAGGUUUUUCACCCCAACUCAUAUCUUAAAAGUACAUCCUCUAAAGAUACGUAUGAUCAAUAUGGGAUAGGUAGAGUAGAAAAUAUAAAAUGAAAAUAAUGUAGGUAAACUAGCUUUAGGACUGGGGGCAAAUGCACAUCACCAAAAUUUAAGGUUUAGAGGGGAGUAGUAUAUAUGUUCAAUCUACCUUCUUUUUGAAAAUCAAUAAAUUUACAACUGAUUUCAAAUUAAAAAAAAUACUAAUUUCAAUUAGUGGGAUCCACCUGCGGAAUUGGUCCUAGCUAGAUUAACAAUUUAAUGGUUAUGGGCUUGGUCUGUUUUAGAAACAAACUAGUUCUAAUUAAAACCAGCAAACCAUGCCCAUUAUGCAAAUUCACCUAUAUCUAUUAUAAAUCAAUUCUACCCAGAAUUCCAUGAUUAUUUAUUUAUUUACUUAUUUUUCUUGCAGAUUUUAUCGGCCAUGAAAUUGAUAAUAAAAGGAUCGACAAAGAAGAUUGAAGAAGAAUUUCAUGAGGCAAUGCAGGUUUUGGAAAGUGUUUUCAAAAAUGAAAGUCAAGGUCAAAGCUUCUUUGCAAAGGGAAAUAUCGGAUAUAUUGACAUAUCUUUGGGGUCAAUAUUGGGUUGGAUGAAAGUUGUUGAGAAAUCAAAGAAUAUUAGGUUACUGGAUGAGAGGAAGACGCCUAUGUUGGUGAAUUGGGCUGAACAAUUCCAAGCUCACGAAGUUGUCAAGGGAAUGAUACCCGAACCAGACAAGUUGUCUAAGACAAUUGAUGAAAAAACAAUAGACGAUUCCAAACAACAAGAUGAAAUUGAUCGAGCAUUUAUCUAUGCUAGGCAAUUGACGUUCAAUCAUGCUCUCUCAAUGACCUUGAAAGUUGUCAUUGAACUGGGUGUGCUUGAUGUUAUUGCGAAUGCUGGUUUCGACAAAUUCCUCUCCCCAAAAGAGAUAGCAAGUGAAUUAUCGAUUGUCAACCCUGAUGCUCCCAUCAUGCUCAAUCGCAUGCUUAGACUACUUGCCAGCCACAAUAUCGUCAUCUGCAAAUCAAAAUCAUAUAGUAAUUGUGAUGAAAACACCAUAGUUGGUACUACGUUAUAUGGUAUUGGCCCUAUAUCUAAGUAUUUUGUCAAAAAUGAGGAUGGUGUUUCACUAGCUCCCAUGCUUGCCG
RNAcentral lists this long non-coding RNA (12814 nucleotides) under Zostera marina. RNAcentral describes it as "long non-coding RNA (ZMAR_LNC000213)". The record is from RNAcentral. Lineage: Eukaryota; Viridiplantae; Streptophyta; Magnoliopsida; Alismatales; Zosteraceae.